UGGUUAACAAUAAUUGUAGUUUUACCAAUAUUUGCGGGUUCCUUAAUUUUCUUUCUUCCCCAUAAAGGAAAU
RNAcentral lists this transfer RNA (72 nucleotides) under Chrysanthemum x morifolium (florist's daisy). RNAcentral describes it as "tRNA-Asn". The record is from RNAcentral. Lineage: Eukaryota; Viridiplantae; Streptophyta; Magnoliopsida; Asterales; Asteraceae.